This 473-nucleotide ribosomal RNA is filed under the name uncultured Magnetococcus sp. RNAcentral's name for it is "bacterial SSU rRNA". It matches the Rfam family "Bacterial small subunit ribosomal RNA", at positions 79 to 587 of the family's 1533-position model. The record is from RNAcentral. Lineage: Bacteria; Pseudomonadati; Pseudomonadota; Magnetococcia; Magnetococcales; Magnetococcaceae.
UUCGGGUCGCCGGCGAGUGGCAAACGGGUGAGUAACGCGUGGAUACCUGUCCUGUGGUGGGGAAUAACGUUUAGAAAUGAACGCUAACACCGCAUAAGCCCUGCGGGGGAAAGAUUUAUCGCCAUAGGAGGGGUCCGCGUCGGAUUAGCUAGUUGGUGGGGUAACGGCCUACCAAGGCGACGAUCCGUAGCUGGUCUGAGAGGAUGAUCAGCCACACUGGGACUGAGACACGGCCCAGACUCCUACGGGAGGCAGCAGUGGGGAAUAUUGCGCAAUGGAGGAAACUCUGACGCAGCGACGCCGCGUGGGUGAAGAAGGCCUUAGGGUUGUAAAGCCCUUUCAGUGGGAAAGAUGAUGACGGUACCCACAGAAGAAGCCCCGGCUAACUCCGUGCCAGCAGCCGCGGUAAUACGGAGGGGGCCAGCGUUGUUCGGAAUUACUGGGCGUAAAGGGCGCGUAGGCGGUUGAUCAAG